GGUUAAGCGACUAAGCGUACACGGUGGAUGCCCUGGCAGUCAGAGGCGAUGAAGGACGUGCUAAUCUGCGAAAAGCGCCGGCGAGGUGAUAUGAACCUUUGACCCGGCGAUGUCCGAAUGGGGAAACCCAGUGUGAUUCGUCACACUAUCGUUAACUGAAUACAUAGGUUAACGAGGCGAACCGGGGGAACUGAAACAUCUAAGUACCCCGAGGAAAAGAAAUCAACCGAGAUUCCCCCAGUAGCGGCGAGCGAACGGGGAGCAGCCCAGAGUCUGAAUCAGCUUGUGUGUUAGUGGAACGGUCUGGAAAGUCCGGCGAUACAGGGUGACAGCCCCGUACACGAAAAUGCACAGGUUGUGAACUCGAAGAGUAGGGCGGGACACGUGGUAUCCUGUCUGAAUAUGGGGGGACCAUCCUCCAAGGCUAAAUACUCCUGACUGACCGAUAGUGAACCAGUACCGUGAGGGAAAGGCGAAAAGAACCCCGGCGAGGGGAGUGAAAAAGAACCUGAAACCGUGUACGUACAAGCAGUGGGAGCACCUUCGUGGUGUGACUGCGUACCUUUUGUAUAAUGGGUCAGCGACUUAUAUUCUGUAGCAAGGUUAACCGUAUAGGGGAGCCGAAGGGAAACCGAGUCUUAACUGGGCGUUAAGUUGCAGGGUAUAGACCCGAAACCCGGUGAUCUAGCCAUGGGCAGGUUGAAGGUUGGGUAACACUAACUGGAGGACCGAACCGACUAAUGUUGAAAAAUUAGCGGAUGACUUGUGGCUGGGGGUGAAAGGCCAAUCAAACCGGGAGAUAGCUGGUUCUCCCCGAAAGCUAUUUAGGUAGCGCCUCGUGAACUCAUCUUCGGGGGUAGAGCACUGUUUCGGCUAGGGGGCCAUCCCGGCUUACCAACCCGAUGCAAACUACGAAUACCGAAGAAUGUUAUCACGGGAGACACACGGCGGGUGCUAACGUCCGUCGUGAAGAGGGAAACAACCCAGACCGCCAGCUAAGGUCCCAAAGUCAUGGUUAAGUGGGAAACGAUGUGGGAAGGCACAGACAGCCAGGAUGUUGGCUUAGAAGCAGCCAUCAUUUAAAGAAAGCGUAAUAGCUCACUGGUCGAGUCGGCCUGCGCGGAAGAUGUAACGGGGCUAAACCAUGCACCGAAGCUGCGGCAGCGACACUAUGUGUUGUUGGGUAGGGGAGCGUUCUGUAAGCCGUUGAAGGUGUGCUGUGAGGCAUGCUGGAGGUAUCAGAAGUGCGAAUGCUGACAUAAGUAACGAUAAAGCGGGUGAAAAGCCCGCUCGCCGGAAGACCAAGGGUUCCUGUCCAACGUUAAUCGGGGCAGGGUGAGUCGACCCCUAAGGCGAGGCCGAAAGGCGUAGUCGAUGGGAAACAGGUUAAUAUUCCUGUACUUGGUGUUACUGCGAAGGGGGGACGGAGAAGGCUAUGUUAGCCGGGCGACGGUUGUCCCGGUUUAAGCAUGUAGGCGGAACGAUUAGGUAAAUCCGGUCGUUUUUUAACGCUGAGGUGUGAUGACGAGGCACUACGGUGCUGAAGUAACAAAUGCCCUGCUUCCAGGAAAAGCCUCUAAGCAUCAGGUAACACAAAAUCGUACCCCAAACCGACACAGGUGGUCAGGUAGAGAAUACCAAGGCGCUUGAGAGAACUCGGGUGAAGGAACUAGGCAAAAUGGUGCCGUAACUUCGGGAGAAGGCACGCUGAUAUGUAGGUGAAGCCCCUGCGGGUGGAGCUGAAAUCAGUCGAAGAUACCAGCUGGCUGCAACUGUUUAUUAAAAACACAGCACUGUGCAAACACGAAAGUGGACGUAUACGGUGUGACGCCUGCCCGGUGCCGGAAGGUUAAUUGAUGGGGUUAGCGGCAACGCGAAGCUCUUGAUCGAAGCCCCGGUAAACGGCGGCCGUAACUAUAACGGUCCUAAGGUAGCGAAAUUCCUUGUCGGGUAAGUUCCGACCUGCACGAAUGGCGUAAUGAUGGCCAGGCUGUCUCCACCCGAGACUCAGUGAAAUUGAACUCGCUGUGAAGAUGCAGUGUACCCGCGGCAAGACGGAAAGACCCCGUGAACCUUUACUAUAGCUUGACACUGAACACUGGUCCUUGAUGUGUAGGAUAGGUGGGAGGCUUUGAAGCGUGGACGCCAGUCUGCGUGGAGCCGACCUUGAAAUACCACCCUUUAAUGGCUGGUGUUCUAACGUAGACCCGUGAUCCGGGUUGCGGACAGUGUCUGGUGGGUAGUUUGACUGGGGCGGUCUCCUCCCAAAGAGUAACGGAGGAGCACGAAGGUUAGCUAAUCCUGGUCGGACAUCAGGAGGUUAGUGCAAUGGCAUAAGCUAGCUUGACUGCGAGAGUGACGGCUCGAGCAGGUGCGAAAGCAGGUCAUAGUGAUCCGGUGGUUCUGAAUGGAAGGGCCAUCGCUCAACGGAUAAAAGGUACUCCGGGGAUAACAGGCUGAUACCGCCCAAGAGUUCAUAUCGACGGCGGUGUUUGGCACCUCGAUGUCGGCUCAUCACAUCCUGGGGCUGAAGUAGGUCCCAAGGGUAUGGCUGUUCGCCAUUUAAAGUGGUACGCGAGCUGGGUUUAGAACGUCGUGAGACAGUUCGGUCCCUAUCUGCCGUGGGCGCUGGAGAAUUGAGGGGGGCUGCUCCUAGUACGAGAGGACCGGAGUGGACGCAUCACUGGUGUUCGGGUUGUCAUGCCAAUGGCAUUGCCCGGUAGCUAAAUGCGGAAGAGAUAAGUGCUGAAAGCAUCUAAGCACGAAACUUGCCCCGAGAUGAGUUCUCCCUGAGACUUUAAGUCUCCUGAAGGAACGUUGAAGACGACGACGUUGAUAGGUCGGGUGUGUAAGUGUAGCGAUACAUUGAGCUAACCGAUACUAAUGAACCGUGAGGCUUAACCUU
RNAcentral lists this ribosomal RNA (2905 nucleotides) under Enterobacter mori. RNAcentral describes it as "23S ribosomal RNA". It matches the Rfam family "Bacterial large subunit ribosomal RNA". Lineage: Bacteria; Pseudomonadati; Pseudomonadota; Gammaproteobacteria; Enterobacterales; Enterobacteriaceae. The record is from RNAcentral.